GAUGAAGAACGUAGCGAAAUGCGAUACGUAAUGUGAAUUGCAGAAUUCAGUGAAUCAUCGAAUCUUUGAACGCAUAUUGCGCUCUCUGGUAUUCCGGAGAGCAUGCUUGUUUGAGUAUCAGUAAACACCUCAACUCUUUUUUCUUUUUUGAAAUUGGAGCUGGACUCGAGUGAUCCCAACGCUUUCUUCCAAGAAAGUGGCGGGUUGCUUGAAAUGCAGGUGCAGCUGAACUUUUCUCUGAGCUAUAAGCAUAUCUAUUUAGUCUGCCUAAAAAACAGAUUAUUACCUUUGCUGCAGCUAACAUAAAGGAGACUAGUUCUUGUGCUGACUGAUGCAGGAUUCACAGAGACAGCUUCGGCUGACUUUGUAAACUCGAUCUCAAAUCAAGUAAGACUACCCGCUGAACUUAAGCAUAUCAAUAAGCGGAGGA
RNAcentral lists this unclassified non-coding RNA (430 nucleotides) under soil metagenome. RNAcentral's name for it is "partial contains 5.8S ribosomal RNA, internal transcribed spacer 2, and large subunit ribosomal RNA". The stretch from base 1 to 120 matches the Rfam family "5.8S ribosomal RNA", at positions 35 to 154 of the family's 154-position model. The record is from RNAcentral.